GCAGCAAAUCCCAAGCCUUACAGCUGGGAAAGCUUCAGUCUGCCUGUGCAAGCUUAUAAAAGAAAGCUACACAAAGCAGGAGCAGGGUUUACACGCCAGCCAUCCUGGUUACAGUGUUUUGGGUAAUGAACUGUCUUGGGCUAAUUCUGCCGUUGUUCCAACAGCGGGACACACACACACACACACUUUACAUACGCACACACUUUACACAUAUACACACUUUACACACACAUUUUAUACACAUACACUUUACACACACACACACACACACACACACACACACACACACACACUCCAUACCCAUGCUCCCUUUCAGCUUAGGCCAAGCACGAAAUUUCUUUUAAUUGCCUUUUCUCUCUGACAUUCAACCCUCAACUCCUAACACUGUUGUCCUUAAAAGUUUCCUCCUGCUUUAUUUACUUACACCUUGGCCUCUUUGAAGGAUCCCAGCAAUGUUAGAGUCUCUGUGGGUGAAUGGUUAGUUAGCAGUCAAAGCCGCAGACACUGGCAUGGAGGUGGACGACUCUGGGUGGAGGGACCACAGUCUGAGGACAAAUGAGUCUCUUUCACAACCCAGUAAGACUUCUGUGGGCUGUUACGGUCUGCUGUUUUGGCCGGGCACUAGGGUUUCUGGAACUUUUAGAAAGAGUAAACAGGAACUAGUUUCCCAUCUCCAGAACCUCAAAACCUUCGGUCCCCAGCUCCGAAAAAAAAAAAAAAAAAA
RNAcentral lists this long non-coding RNA (724 nucleotides) under Rattus norvegicus (Norway rat). RNAcentral's name for it is "long non-coding RNA NONRATT020149". The record is from RNAcentral. Lineage: Eukaryota; Metazoa; Chordata; Mammalia; Rodentia; Muridae.